Molecule: long non-coding RNA, 203 nt
Filed under: Elaeis guineensis (African oil palm)
Lineage: Eukaryota; Viridiplantae; Streptophyta; Magnoliopsida; Arecales; Arecaceae
Description: long non-coding RNA (EGUI_LNC073068)
Source: RNAcentral
GGGUUGUGAUUUUUGGUAUCAUGAGAGAAGAUCUAAUAAGGGUUGUUAGCUAUAGCUGAUGAGUUAUAAUAUUAUCUCUUGCUUAAUUCGAAUGCGAUCCGAAUUAGAGAUAAGAUGUAGACUAUGAAAGAGAUUUUUUGUAUAUGGUAUAUUGUUAGAGCUAUAUUAUUUUUUUGCUUAUUUUUCUUAAGGAAUUCUUUAGG